RNAcentral lists this ribosomal RNA (521 nucleotides) under fungal sp. XKGKDF5. RNAcentral's name for it is "eukaryotic LSU rRNA". The stretch from base 144 to 297 matches the Rfam family "5.8S ribosomal RNA". Lineage: Eukaryota; Fungi. The record is from RNAcentral.
GUUCACUCAUCAACCCUGUGAACAUACCUAUAACGUUGCCUCGGCGGGAACAGACGGCCCCGUAACACGGGCCGCCCCCGCCAGAGGACCCCCUAACUCUGUUUCUAUAAUGUUUCUUCUGAGUAAACAAGCAAAUAAAUUAAAACUUUCAACAACGGAUCUCUUGGCUCUGGCAUCGAUGAAGAACGCAGCGAAAUGCGAUAAGUAAUGUGAAUUGCAGAAUUCAGUGAAUCAUCGAAUCUUUGAACGCACAUUGCGCCCGCCAGUAUUCUGGCGGGCAUGCCUGUUCGAGCGUCAUUACAACCCUCAGGCCCCCGGGCCUGGCGUUGGGGAUCGGCGGAAGCCCCCUGCGGGCACAACGCCGUCCCCCAAAUACAGUGGCGGUCCCGCCGCAGCUUCCAUUGCGUAGUAGCUAACACCUCGCAACUGGAGAGCGGCGCGGCCACGCCGUAAAACACCCAACUUCUGAAUGUUGACCUCGAAUCAGGUAGGAAUACCCGCUGAACUUAAGCAUAUCAAAA